This is a non-coding RNA of Castor canadensis (American beaver), 390 nucleotides long. The record is from the annotation of a RefSeq genome assembly. Lineage: Eukaryota; Metazoa; Chordata; Mammalia; Rodentia; Castoridae.
AUGGAGGUGUGGCUGAGCUGGGUUUUUCUACUUGUUAUUUUAAAAGGUGUCCAGUGUGAAGUGAAGCUGGUGGAGUCUGGAGGAGGCUUGGUUCAGCCUGGGGGUUCAUUGAGAAUCUCCUGUGCAGCCUCUGGAUUCACCUUCAGAAAUGACUACAUGGAAUGGGUCCGCCAGGCUCCAGGGAAGGGACUGGAGUGGGUUUCACUCAUUAGAAACAAAGCAAAUAGUUACACCACAGAAUACAAUGCAUCUGUGAAAGGCAGAUUCACCAUCUCCAGAGAUGAUGACAAGAACAUGCUGUACCUGCAAAUGAACAGCCUGAGAUAUGAGGACACGGCCAUGCAUUACUGUGCAAGAGACAAAGUGAGGAGACUUCAUUGUGAGCCCUGA